Molecule: ribosomal RNA, 608 nt
Filed under: uncultured crenarchaeote
Lineage: Archaea; Thermoproteati; Thermoproteota
Description: SSU rRNA
Rfam family: Archaeal small subunit ribosomal RNA
Source: RNAcentral
AGUCCUCUGUUAAAUCCAACCGCCCAACGGUUGGCCUGCAGGGGAUACUACGGGACUAGGAGGCGGGAGAGGCCGACGGUACUCCACGGGUAGGGGUAAAAUCCUCUGAUCCGUGGAGGACUACCAGUGGCGAAGGCGUCUCGCUAGAACGCGCUCGACGGUGAGGGAUGAAAGCUGGGGGAGCAAACCGGAUUAGAUACCCGGGUAGUCCCAGCCGUAAACUAUGUAGGCUCGGUGAUGGACUGGCUCCGAGCCAGUCCAGUGCCGCAGGGAAGCCGUUAAGCCUACCGCCUGGGGAGUACGGCCGCAAGGCUGAAACUUAAAAGAAUUGGCGGGGGAGCACCACAAGGGGUGAAGCCUGCGGUUCAAUUGGAGUCAACGCCGGGAAUCUUACCAGGGGUGACAGCAGAAUGAAGGUCAGGCCGAAGACCUUACCACACCAGCUGAGAGGAGGUGCAUGGCCGUCGCCAGCUCGUGCCGUGAGGUGUCCUGUUAAGUCAGGUAACGAGCGAGACCCUCGUCUCUAAUUGCUACCAUCAUUCUCAGGAAUGGUGGGGGGAAUUAGGGAGACUGCCGUUGUUAAAACGGAAGAAGGAGAGAGCCACGGC